UCCGGUUUGUCACCGGCAGUCAUCUUAGAGUGCCCACCCUUACGUGCUGGCAACUAAGAUCAAGGGUUGCGCUCGUUGCGGGACUUAACCCAACAUCUCACGACACGAGCUGACGACAACCAUGCACCACCUGUCUCCUUUGUCCCGAAGGAAAGCCCUAUCUCUAGGACGGUCAGAGGGAUGUCAAGACCUGGUAAGGUUCUUCGCAUUGCUUCGAAUUAAACCACAUACUCCACUGCUUGUGCGGGUCCCCGUCAAUUCCUUUGAGUUUCAGUCUUGCGACCGUACUCCCCAGGCGGUAUACUUAACGCGUUAGCUCCGGCACAACUGGGGUUGAGUCCAGUUACACCAAGUAUACAUCGUUUACAGCAAGGACUAC
This 379-nucleotide unclassified non-coding RNA is filed under the name uncultured Paenibacillaceae bacterium. RNAcentral describes it as "contains 16S-23S intergenic spacer region". Lineage: Bacteria; Bacillati; Bacillota; Bacilli; Caryophanales; Paenibacillaceae. The record is from RNAcentral.